Long non-coding RNA from Hippocampus comes (tiger tail seahorse), 1773 nucleotides. RefSeq lists it as uncharacterized. The record is from RefSeq and is a predicted model, not a curated record. The transcript is spliced from 3 exons. Lineage: Eukaryota; Metazoa; Chordata; Actinopteri; Syngnathiformes; Syngnathidae.
GCCACGGGUGAGCUGGAGUCUUACCCAGCUGACUUUGGGCAAGAGGAAAGACCCUGGACAGGUUACCAGCCCACCACAAAGCAUAAACUGUAUCGACAACUGUUCACACUCGUAUUCACACGUCAAUUGAGUGUCCUCAAUGAACCGAUAUGCAGAACAUGCAAACUUCCACAGAUUCCGUCCACAGAUUCAAACCCUGAUCCUCAGAACUGUGAGGCCGAAUGGCCUUACCACUACUUCACCGUGCUGCUCCCAAAAACACCCACAGUACUUGUGGAGUUCAUCUUUUCGAUGCUCAGUUUUCAGCUCAAAGCGUAACCAUUUUUGGUCCAUUUGACUGCAUUUUUAGUUACUUUUAGCACCCAAGAUGAGCACAAAAACUAACACUUCACAUAUGAUGUAGUGAAAUGUUAACUCCAGGGCAAACUUCUACAAACACAGUUAAAUAAUUGCCCCUAACAAUGAUUUGAUUGUAACCAUUGAAGCAGUUUGCUGCUGUUCAAUUAGGGAGAAAUAAAAAGAAUACCAGUGGUGUUGGACAAGUAUUUUCCCAGUGGCAGUGGGAUCGUAUUCUCAUUAUCAACAGCAACUUUUAACUGCCACCUACAAGAAGUCUUGAGAGUACUUUUCCAUUGUUCCUCCUAUUCCAUCCUGUGGAGCUCACCUGUUUUCCCCGCUGCUCCGCCCACACGCCCCUCACACAUCUUAAAUCACUUAAUCUGCAUCCCUUCGCUCCCCUCCCAUCUUCUCAUCAUCAAAACAGCUACGUCGACUCCGAGUGCCGAGGCUGAAUUAAUUGCUUCUUAUUCCACUUAGACACGCGCUCACGUCCCGAGCCCACGCUUUUUGCUCACCAGACAGCAAUCUCUCCAUCUUUUAUUCUUCUCCCCAAGAGACGUGAUUUACUUUUGUCAAGGACAAGGACAUCCACCUAUUAGGAAGUGCCUCUGACGUAGGCACCCGCGUCCCCUCCUCCUUCUUACCCCCCACCCCCACCCACCCACCCUUUUUCCUAUCUGCCUUCUUCUCCCGCUUCUCCUCCUCCUUGCCUUACUCAAAUUGGGGUCGCCAACCUUUUAUUGUGCAGACUGGUGAAUCAUCAGUGAGACUUACGCCACACAGCGAAGCUCGGAGGGACGCUCUCCAUACCGCCCGCCCACCAACCUACCCGCCCAGGAUGCUUCCGUCCUCCUUCCCAUAUCAGCAGGGAACCCACCAAGAUGAUGGACCACACCUGGACACAGCUGGACCAUGGAAGCCUACCUUGUUCUGGGCCGGGGACAUCUGCAGCUAUAAGACACACAAGGAGACCUAUAAAUAAAGACAACGAUGGAUGACUUGCAAAAAGGGUGCUGAAAAGUUUCUCUCCACCCCCGUCAGCGGAAGUCAGCGGGACAGUGCAGCAGACGUCUUUUCCAGAGGAUGGGAAACCUGGAGGCUGGAAUCGCCUCUCAUUUGGAAUGAGGAGGAGGCAGCGGUCAGUAAUGCCGCAGAGCACAUGUGAAAAAAUGUCAAGUAGCUAUUAAUGCCUUUAUACAUUUGACCUGCAUUUUUCAGCUUGUCGCACACUUUGACCAUGAUCACAAUAUGGGCCCUAAUUUGGUAGGCUGGCACCCGUGAGCUCAAUGUGAAAAUGCACGUAACUUCAUUUUCAUGCCAGGGUAAUGGUUUGGUUCAGCUUGUUUGUAAAUUUGGUAGAUGCACUCCACCUCACCGGGCAUUCCUGCCACGCCUACCAGCGCAUCUGCAAAUUGGGUUAUAAUAAGUAGACUG